UGGGGAAUUUUGCACAAUGGGGGAAACCCUGAUGCAGCGACGCCGCGUGAUUUAGAAGGCCUUCGGGUUGUAAAAAUCUUUUCUAUGGGAAGAAAAUGACAGUACCAUAGGAAUAAGGACCGGAUAAUUACGUGCCAGCAGCCGCGGUAAUACGUAAGGUCCGAGCGUUGUCCGGAAUCAUUGGGCGUAAAGGGUACGUAGGCGGGUAAGCAAGUUAGAAGUGAAAUCCUGUAGCUCAACUACAGUAAGCUUUUAAAACUGCUCAUCUUGAGAUAUGGAAGGGAAAGUGGAAUUCCUAGUGUAGCGGUGAAAUGCGCAGAUAUUAGGAGGAAUACCGGUGGCGAAGGCGACUUUCUGGCCAUAAUCUGACGCUGAGGUACGAAAGCGUGGGUAGCAAACAGG
This 402-nucleotide ribosomal RNA is filed under the name Verrucomicrobiota bacterium. RNAcentral's name for it is "Verrucomicrobia bacterium partial 16S ribosomal RNA". It matches the Rfam family "Bacterial small subunit ribosomal RNA", at positions 355 to 776 of the family's 1533-position model. Lineage: Bacteria; Pseudomonadati; Verrucomicrobiota. The record is from RNAcentral.